CCUACGGGAGGCAGCAGUGAGGAAUAUUGGUCAAUGGACGAGAGUCUGAACCAGCCAAGUAGCGUGAAGGAUGACUGCCCUAUGGGUUGUAAACUUCUUUUAUAUGGGAAUAACAUGUUCCACGUGUGGGAUUUUGUAUGUACCAUAUGAAUAAGGAUCGGCUAACUCCGUGCCAGCAGCCGCGGUAAUACGGAGGAUCCGAGCGUUAUCCGGAUUUAUUGGGUGUAAAGGGAGCGUAGGUGGAUUGUUAAGUCAGGUGUGAAAGUUUGCGGCUCAACCGUAAAAUUGCAGUUGAAACUGGCAGUCUUGAGUACAGUAGAGGUGGGCGGAAUUCGUGGUGUAGCGGUGAAAUGCUUAGAUAUCACGAAGAACUCCGAUUGCGAAGGCAGUUCACUGGACUGCAACUGACACUGAGGCUCGAAAGUGUGGGUAUCAAACAGGAUUAGAUACCCCUGUAGUC
Molecule: ribosomal RNA, 460 nt
Filed under: uncultured bacterium
Lineage: Bacteria
Description: partial 16S ribosomal RNA
Rfam family: Bacterial small subunit ribosomal RNA
Source: RNAcentral